UAACGGGAAGAAAUCAAUUCCUUCUCUUGGCUCUUUGGAUGCAGUUGCUGUAGAUAAAACAGUAGUAUCGCCAUAAUGCAUUAAUGCAGCGCCGUUUGCCUGUUUUGCAACACGGUUGAUGUCUACGGUUAAGGUUCUUCCAGCUAAUUCCAUGGAAUAACUUUUGUACAUACGUUCAUUCUCCUUUUUUCAUAUUCUGGUUGUUAUAUUACUUCUUAUCAAAUCUGCCUGUAUCCCUAUACCUUUCCAUACAGGAAUAUCGGGCUUUUAUAAAAUCUCACACAUCAAAACAGGAGUCCGAAACAACUGAAAAAAAUACUUUGUUUAAAGUU
RNAcentral lists this non-coding RNA (332 nucleotides) under uncultured Blautia sp. Lineage: Bacteria; Bacillati; Bacillota; Clostridia; Lachnospirales; Lachnospiraceae. The record is from RNAcentral.